CCUACGGGUGGCAGCAGUGGGGAAUAUUGGACAAUGGGCGAAAGCCUGAUCCAGCCAUGCCGCGUGUGUGAAGAAGGCCUUCGGGUUGUAAAGCACUUUCAGUGGGGAAGAAAGCCUUGGGGCUAAUACCCUCGAGGAAGGACAUCACCCACAGAAGAAGCACCGGCUAACUCCGUGCCAGCAGCCGCGGUAAUACGGAGGGUGCGAGCGUUAAUCGGAAUUACUGGGCGUAAAGCGCGCGUAGGCGGUCUGAUAAGCCGGUUGGGAAAGCCCCGGGCUCAACCUGGGAACGGCAUCCGGAACUGUCAGGCUAGAGUGCAGGAGAGGAAGGUAGAAUCCCCGGUGUAGCGGUGAAAUGCGUAGAGAGCGGGAGGAAUACCAGUGGCGAAGGCGGCCUUCUGGACUGACACUGACGCUGAGGUGCGAAAGCGUGGGUAGCAAACAGGAUUAGAUACCCGAGUAGUC
RNAcentral lists this ribosomal RNA (465 nucleotides) under Vreelandella stevensii. Its description in RNAcentral is "partial 16S ribosomal RNA". It matches the Rfam family "Bacterial small subunit ribosomal RNA", at positions 338 to 795 of the family's 1533-position model. The record is from RNAcentral. Lineage: Bacteria; Pseudomonadati; Pseudomonadota; Gammaproteobacteria; Oceanospirillales; Halomonadaceae.